AACGAACGCUGGCGGCAUGCCUAACACAUGCAAGUCGAACGAGACCUUCGGGUCUAGUGGCGCACGGGUGCGUAACGCGUGGGAAUCUGCCCUUGGGUUCGGAAUAACAGUUAGAAAUGACUGCUAAUACCGGAUAAUGUCUUCGGACCAAAGAUUUAUCGCCCAGGGAUGAGCCCGCGUAGGAUUAGCUAGUUGGUGAGGUAAAGGCUCACCAAGGCGACGAUCAGUAGCUGGUUUGAGAGAACGACCAGCCACACUGGAACUGAGACACGGUCCAGACUCCUACGGGAGGCAGCAGUGGGGAAUUUUGGACAAUGGGGGGCAACCCUGAUCCAGCAAUGCCGCGUGAGUGAAGAAGG
RNAcentral lists this ribosomal RNA (359 nucleotides) under uncultured bacterium. RNAcentral describes it as "bacterial SSU rRNA". It matches the Rfam family "Bacterial small subunit ribosomal RNA", at positions 29 to 414 of the family's 1533-position model. The record is from RNAcentral.